This 127-nucleotide ribosomal RNA is filed under the name uncultured bacterium. RNAcentral's name for it is "partial 16S ribosomal RNA". It matches the Rfam family "Bacterial small subunit ribosomal RNA", at positions 917 to 1045 of the family's 1533-position model. The record is from RNAcentral.
GGGCCCGCACAAGCGGCGGAGCAUGUGGAUUAAUUCGAUGCAACGCGAAGAACCUUACCUGGGUUUGACAUGCACCGGACGCGUCCAGAGAUGGGCGUUCCCUUGUGGUCGGUGUGCAGGUGGUGCA